Thamnophis sirtalis is the source of this 3218-nucleotide non-coding RNA. Lineage: Eukaryota; Metazoa; Chordata; Lepidosauria; Squamata; Natricidae. The record is from RefSeq and is a predicted model, not a curated record.
UGGAGUUGUUCUGAUGCUCAAUCAUUUCUUUCUAGAUAUCAUCAUGCCACACCAUUUAUAAUGAGGCCAGCAUUCUCUAUGUUGCACUAAAUCUCCAGAGUUUAGUCUGGGUAUCCAUAGGCCAUAUAGCUUAAAUUGUCAAAAUGUAAGCUAUACAAAGUAGAGAAACUGCAUGACAUUUAUCCUGCCUGUCACUUCUGCAUAAAUAAAUGUAUUGGCUUGCUUCAUACAGGAUGAUCCUCGGCUGCUGAAGCCAGAACUGAAAAACAGCUGCAUUCUGCUAUAGCCUCAAAGCUUUGCACAGCCAAUCAUAAGCUUUAGGAUUUGAAUGGAUGUACAUAAAUAUGUUAAGAGGUAGCGUUUCAUAGAAAUCAAAGCAAUGGGGAGGCAUCUAUCUGGGGAGACACACUAUUUGAAAGACUUCUCAGUUUCCAUUACAGUCGCAGGUUUUUGUGCCAAGAAUAUACAUGAAGUUCUGGAACAUCAUAAAAAAAUCUGCCUUUUUUAAAACAUGAGGGGCAUGGACUAAGCAUUUUCUUCCCAGCUGCAGCACAAGAAGCACUGUGCUCUGAAAACAUGGAUUCUGCUAGACCUGCAUUAAAAAAAACAAACAACAAAAAACAGUGACCAUAAAAUCCUUUUUCAUCAUUUAAAGGAAAUAGUUGAACACUGAGUAAGAUGGAAUCUUUUUCAGCACUCCUUUUUCACUUUUAUCAAUCUGCUGUUCUUCACAGAUCCAACCUGCAGCUGUAGGGAAUAUGGUUGGAUAAAGGACAUUUAUCCCUUCCCUUCUCCAACAGUUUUGCUGACAUUCCUCUUUUUCGGAAAUUUAGGGAAACAUCUAACAGCUUCAUUGGAAAACAGCUUCAUCUGGAAUUGCAAGGAGAGAAACACGCAUCUCCUAGGAUACCAAACUCUGUGAAAGGACAGUGUGCAUGUGGAAGUGGAAGAUGUCAAAAGGAGAUGAUAUGGAGAAAGAAGAAAUCUACUGUUCAACGAAAUCGAGAUAUUUUAAGGAAUCCUUAUGAACAGUCAAUCUUGAUAAAAUAUUAAUCAUGUGCAUGGAGAAGAAUCUGUGUCAGUGGAUCACGUCUCUUUUAUAUGAAGCUGAAGGGGGCAGUGAAAAAAAGAAUCUGUUGCAUCUGUGUCACCGUUCUCAUUUCUUCAAACUCCCACAGAAAUCCUUUUACAAAUCUAAAACUGCAAACAUGGGGAAGGAAGUCUGCAGUGAAAGAAUCACCCCAUCUCAGAAGACCACAACGAUUUCACAGGAGGGGCAGUACAGCCUGAAGCUCUGGACUUUUUCAGCAGUGGUCUUUUGUGUUGUGCAGCCUCCUAAGGAAGCAGCAAUAGAAGAUUAUAAAAGAGCUCCUCUGGAAAUGCUUCAUCAGGAACGAGGGAAAACCCAGAAGACUAUUUGGUGUUAAUGAACAAACACAGAAAAAAUGGUAAAGGUACAUUGCAUGCCUUUUGGCUUUUGUCAUCCUUCAGAACAAAGGAUUCAUGGAUGCUAUGCUAACUGAAAGAAUUAAUUACUUUAGAAGUCUUCAUUAAUCAGAAAAAAAAUAAUGCCAUUGAUUUUAAUUCCAAAGCUAAGUUAGCACUAUAUUGGUAAUAUGAUAAUAUAAUUUGGCUGUUACUUUGAUAACUAUGCUCUCAAUAUUUCCCUCCAUACAAUGCCAGAGCAAAUAACAACACAUGUGUUUAAGCAGGUCAACAGCCUCUUGUACAAGGAUCCUUUUCUUUAUAUAUUUCUGGUUCUCUAUCAAACUAAAUCUGACACCUAGUAGUGCUUCUUCUUCAGACAUCAAAUCCACAUUCAUAUACGAUCAUAACAGUAUCAGUCCAAUAAUCCACAUGAUCUAGCAUGUUGUAUUUUCACAUGACAGAAAACUAUGUUAUUAACAUAGAUGUUUCUACACCCAAGUGAUAUUUUUGAAUACAAAUUUAUAAUAUUAUUUUAGGUUCUAUCCUUAUAGUGUUUGGCUACCUAAAUAUAUACAGAUCCACUCAAACUCACUACAAUGAGAGAAACCGUGAUUUUAAAACAAACUUUUUGUGUAGAUAGAUCUGUGCUGCUAGACCUUGAAAUAUUGAUAUAAUGGAUGGCAUUAAGGGAGAAGAGUUUUCCAACUUAUUUAUGACCCUCGAAAUGCCUAAAAACAAUGUCAUAUAUAUGUCACUGUAUAGUUGAAGUUUCCUUCCAGGCAUUUUAAGUAAUGCUUAUAAGUUGCUUCCACUUCUGGAUAACUUUCAAGGCUUGGAAAGACUAUAACAAGAUGCAAUGUCCUUUGAAGGUUACUGCAGACAUGAUAGCCUUCCUAUUUUAUGUUAUUCAGAAGACUCUGCCAGCUGCAGACAGUUUGGGAUGAGUGGCUUAGAUGAAAGUUGUUAUCAGAAUCGCUUAAUGAUAUUUAAUUGGUGUUUUAAAUUAAUAUUAAGGUUUGCAGAAUUUUGCCCACAAUAAAAUAAAAGCUGUUAACCUGUCAGAAUGAUUCAUGUGCCAAAGGUCCAUUGGAAACAAGGCAACUUUAUUUCAAGUGUGUGAAUCUUCUGCUUGGUUAGUAGUGCCUGAAAAAACACUUUUAAUAAACAUUUAACAAAUGGGGACAGCAUGAGAAAAGUCAUAAAUCCAAAAUUUUCUACAGCUAUCCAAUUAAUAAAUUCAUGACCAAAAUGCGACGGAGGAAUAAAUAAAUAAAUAAAUGACUGGCUGGGUAGAUUGUCUAUUUUAUUCUAAACAGAAUUUAGAAUUAAUUGCUAAAUAGAAAAAUAUAUCUGUGUUUAUAUGCGUACAGAUUUUCUGAAUAUUUCUUUUUAAACGUAGUGUAAAUUAUUGAUUAUUUGUGAUAAAAGUGUCAAAACUCACUGUAUUCAGUAAUGCAUUAAUAUAAAAGUAGAAACGUGAUUCAAUAUCUAUUUGGCUAUAACUAUUGAUGUAGAUUACUGUUAUCUCUAUAUUAUUUAUGAAUCUGACAAUGUAACAAUUUCUAACAUGCAUAUAACAAUAUAACAUGCAUAUAUGCUUAAUCCACGUAGUCUGAAUGACUCAUGCAACUAUUGAAACUGUUAGGGAUAGCAUUAUAAAUUGAGAUACAUGAUCAAACUAUAACAAUAAAAUUGUAUAAAUGUUUUAAGUGUAAGUUUGUCAUAUGUUUAGAAUAAUAAGCAACUUACAGUUGCUAGGCUUAAUAAAGAAGAUACUACUAGGAGAGAUU